GCCUACAGCCAUGCCACUCUGAACACGCCCGAUCUCGUCUGAUCUCGGAAGUUAAGCAGGGUCCGGCCCAGUGAGUACUUGGAUGGGAGACCACCUAGGAAGACCAGGUGCUACAGGUG
This 119-nucleotide ribosomal RNA is filed under the name Pteropus alecto (black flying fox). Lineage: Eukaryota; Metazoa; Chordata; Mammalia; Chiroptera; Pteropodidae. The record is from RNAcentral.